AUUGAACGCUGGCGGCAUGCCUUACACAUGCAAGUCGAACGGCAGCACGGGUGCUUGCACCUGGUGGCGAGUGGCGAACGGGUGAGUAAUACAUCGGAACAUGUCCUGUAGUGGGGGAUAGCCCGGCGAAAGCCGGAUUAAUACCGCAUACGAUCUACGGAUGAAAGCGGGGGACCUUCGGGCCUCGCGCUAUAGGGUUGGCCGAUGGCUGAUUAGCUAGUUGGUGGGGUAAAGGCCUACCAAGGCGACGAUCAGUAGCUGGUCUGAGAGGACGACCAGCCACACUGGGACUGAGACACGGCCCAGACUCCUACGGGAGGCAGCAGUGGGGAAUUUUGGACAAUGGGCGAAAGCCUGAUCCAGCAAUGCAGCGUGUGUGAAGAAGGCCUUCGGGUUGUAAAGCACUUUUGUCCGGAAAGAAAUCCUUGGCCCUAAUACGGUCGGGGGAUGACGGUACCGGAAGAAUAAGCACCGGCUAACUACGUG
RNAcentral lists this ribosomal RNA (486 nucleotides) under uncultured bacterium. Its description in RNAcentral is "partial 16S ribosomal RNA". It matches the Rfam family "Bacterial small subunit ribosomal RNA", at positions 30 to 507 of the family's 1533-position model. The record is from RNAcentral.